This 258-nucleotide unclassified non-coding RNA is filed under the name Hevea brasiliensis (rubber tree). Lineage: Eukaryota; Viridiplantae; Streptophyta; Magnoliopsida; Malpighiales; Euphorbiaceae. The record is from RNAcentral.
GUCAUCAAAUUGAUUAAUAAAAUGCACGGGAUCGGCGGCAUCCAUUACUAUCCGAUUUGGCUCCAUUCAGCAAAUUGAUGAAUGAAAUGAACAGAAUCGGCGCAUCCAUUGUUGUCCGAUUUGGCUCCGUUCAAUUGAUGAAUGAAAUGCACGGAAUCGAAGGCAUCCAUUAUUGUCCGAUUUGGCUCCGUUCAGCUAAUUUAAUUUUCCGGCCGACUGAUUUUGACUGAGGAAUCUCAAAAGUUAAGAGACAAAAAA